CGGGANGAAGGGCGAAGCCUGAUCCAGCCAUGCCGCGGUGCAGGAUGAAGGCCUUCGGGUUGUAAACUGCUUUUGUACGGAACGAAAAGGUUUGGCCUAAUAAGCUGAGCUCAUGACGGUACCGUAAGAAUAAGCACCGGCUAACUACGUGCCAGCAGCCGCGGUAAUACGAU
RNAcentral lists this ribosomal RNA (173 nucleotides) under Curvibacter lanceolatus. RNAcentral's name for it is "partial 16S ribosomal RNA". It matches the Rfam family "Bacterial small subunit ribosomal RNA", at positions 359 to 529 of the family's 1533-position model. The record is from RNAcentral. Lineage: Bacteria; Pseudomonadati; Pseudomonadota; Betaproteobacteria; Burkholderiales; Comamonadaceae.